This 859-nucleotide ribosomal RNA is filed under the name Dasia haliana. RNAcentral's name for it is "partial 16S ribosomal RNA". It matches the Rfam family "Bacterial large subunit ribosomal RNA", at positions 1537 to 2620 of the family's 2925-position model. The record is from RNAcentral. Lineage: Eukaryota; Metazoa; Chordata; Lepidosauria; Squamata; Scincidae.
UAAAAGCAGCCACCAUUAACAAAAGCGUCACAGCAAGAAAGAAAUAAAUUUCACAAUAUCAGCCAGCCUCCUAGAAAAACACUGAGCCACACUAUAAUUAUAGUCGAACUACUGUUAGAACUAGUAACAAGAAAUCUUCUCCAAGCACCCCUGUGAUCCAGAAAUAGAAAACCUACUGGACAUUAACAGACCAUAGUAGGUACGACGCCCACGAAGCAUCUGACCAACUGUCAAACCAACCCCGGAGUGCUUAAAGGAUAGAUUAAAAGCCAUAAAAGGAACUCGGCAAAAUUUGUCUCAACUGUUUACCAAAAACAUAGCCUUUAGCCAAACAAGUAUUAAAGGUCCCGCCUGCCCAGUGAAACAUUUUAACGGCCGCGGUAUUCUAACCGUGCAAAGGUAGCGUAAUCACUUGUCUUCUAAAUAAAGACCAGUAUGAACGGCUAAAUGAGGACAAGCCUGUCUCUUGUGGCUAAUCAGUGAAACUGAUCUCUCAGUACAAACGCUGAGAUACACACAUAAGACGAGAAGACCCUGUGGAGCUUAAAACAAACCACUAAACCCACUACACUAGUGCAAUGUUUUAAGUUGGGGCGACUUCGGAACAAAACAAAACUUCCGAGCACGGAACCACCCCUUCCAACCAAGGCCAACAAGCCAAAGAACACAUUGACCCGGCAAUGCCGAAAAACGAACCAAGUUACCCCAGGGGUAACAGCGCCAUCUUCUUCAAGAGUCCAUAUCGACAAGAAGGUUUACGACCUCGAUGUUGGAUCAGGACACCCAAAUGGUGCAGCCGCUAUUAAAGGUUCGUUUGUUCAACGAUUAACAGUCCUACGUGAUCUGAGUUCAGACCGGA